CAUUCUUCUUAAAUGAAUCGGUCGGGCUUAUCGUGUGCCGGUCCACGGGCGUUGUAUCACCCUCGUCCUGGGAUGGCGCUCGACUCGAAGGCCCCUCCUCGACCUGCCUAUGGAGCGGCGGUCAAAGGCGCUUUGCCACUUUGUG
Molecule: unclassified non-coding RNA, 145 nt
Filed under: uncultured Basidiomycota
Lineage: Eukaryota; Fungi; Basidiomycota
Description: sequence contains ITS2
Source: RNAcentral